UGACACCAUGGUGGCACUGGCACAAGGCUCCCCCAGCUCUGAGAUCCGCACACGCCUGCCCUGGGUGUGGGACAAGCUGGAUUCUGACAGAUCCCAGGUUUGACUUGUUUGUGUUCUGGAACUGCUAAUUGCAGGGCGCUUUGGCAAGAUGCGGUCAUCUCUGGCUCCUCAGUGACCUGCCCUCAGGCUCCCUGGUGGGUCUGACAGGGGGUCAGGGGAGGGCCCCGUCUCAGGGCCUGGCCUGAUUCUCAGCUUCAGACCCGCAUGGGGCCGCCUCGCCUCUCAGAGAGACGGAAGCAAGGUGCUGGCUCCAAGGGGAAGCACCCAGCCGAGUCCCCCGCAGUCCCCUAGAGGGGCAGAGUGGGGGGCUGGGCCACCUGCCUUCCAGGGCCCUCUGUUCUCAUUCCCUGGGGGCUCUGGGAGGACGGGCAGGGUAGCAGGUGACCCCAGAGGUGCCUGCGGCCUGACUCACAGCCGUCCACCCAGGGCUGGGCUGCCGCGGUGGUGGCUCCUCGGGGACGGUCCGCCUCUCUGGUUGCCCGGCCUGCCCCGUCCAGGGUGCCCUGAGCACUCAGGGCCUCCUGCGUCACCUCACCAGUGACCUGCCUUCUUGGCUGCUCCUGAUGGUCCUGCACUGGCCCCUUCUGGGAACUUCUUCCAGGGGCUGCUGAUCCCUGGGCAUCUGUCCUACCUUCCCCUGCCACGUCCACACACCUGCACUGGGGCUGAGCCGGAGGCCAUGGGGGGCUGACCCCACCACAAGCCCCUCACCUCCUGCUGCCUGGUGUGGGAGCUGCACAGGGCCAGCACCUGCUGUCCAGGUACAGGGGGGAGGGACAGGCCAGCCAGUUUCUAUCCUGGCAGCACCUCUGGGUGUGGCUGCCUCCUGGGGACCUGCCUGGGGACUCAACCUGGAGGACCUGACCCAGGGGACAUGACCAGGGACAACCUGAUCGGGGGACCUGACCCUGGGGACGUGACCCAGAGGACCUGACCUGGGCUACGGUGCUCUUUAGCUGGAGGGGUCCCCGAGAGGGACUUGGCGGAGAGCUGCUCUGGGGGCCCCUCAGCCUCAGUCCUGUGAAUCUGGGUGUCCACCGCAGUCCCUCUGUGUGGUCUUGGUGGCUGUGUGACUUUCCCACAUUCAGCCGAUGACAACCUCAGCCAAAUGCUACGGCCUCUGGGAAAUGCCCUGAGUUUUCUUCCUGCCUCUUUGAUGGAUAUUUAUAGUUUGUGCCAUUGAUAAGGAAUACAGCCAUUUUUCGCAGACUAGCACGGUGCCCUGUGCCCCACGGGGUGACCCUGCAGACAGCAGCUCCCUCAGGACCCACAGAGAGCCCGGAGCCCUCACCGCCACCCCAGCGUUGGGAUUCUCCCCAACACGUGCCGUCCUUGUGUUCCCUGGCUCUCGAGAGCUUUCCUGCCUGUCGGGGGUGGGGUGGGGUGGGGUGAAGAUGCAGCUGUUUGUGGAUGAAAUUAAAAGAGGCCCAUUAAUAAAUCAUGUGAACCCAUUAUUCUAAAAACUACGCUGGAAAGUGAGUUGACAUAUUACAAAUGCUGUGAUUUCUAUAUUGUGAUUACUUGUCUUUUUUAAAGCAGAAUGCAUUUUAAAUAACCAGACGAAUCCUCUGAUUAACCACUGUUUGCCUAGGGACCAUGCUCACGCCCCGGGAGAGGGGCUCUCCUCCAGAGCUAAGGGGGUCACUGGAAAAGUCCCCGAUGCCCACGGUCGUGGAGGUACUUCCUGCUGCUAGACCCUCGAGCUGCCCAUUAUCCCCAAAUUCAGUGUGGGUGCAACUGAGGCUGUCCCUUUGGUGGGCUGGCCGGCUCUCAGGACGGUCACCUCUUGUGGGUCAAAUCCUGGUGAGCACUGAUUCCACCUCUGCUUCCCCAGAUCUCAGGACCUUGUUCUCUGAGAAUUGCCUGCUCCAAAGCCCCUGGCAUCGCGGGGAUCUCCUGGGAGCCUGGACCCAGGAGGGUGGAGCUGAGAAGCGGCACUUCUGCAGAUUGAAAUUGAGCAAGGCUUCGCCAUGUUCUGGGCGCGGAGAAGAUCCCAGGAAGCCAGUGGCUUGUGGAUGGGUGAGCAGAUCCUGUCUGUGCAUGGAGGAGCUCAGUCCAGCCUCCCAACAGGCAGGAGCCCUGCAGUGCACAGUGACCCGGGUGGACCUGGAGGCCCUGGCGCUCAGGGGCCUGAGCCAAGCUCAGUAAGAAGCACCACUCUACCUCCUGGGGGCAGCAGAGGGUGGGCUCUAGGAGGCAGAGCACACGGUGGCUGCCAAGGCUGGGCAGGGCCACGGCACGUUGGCCCAAGGGGCCAAGUCCACGUGGGGUGGUCGGGGUCUUACUGACUGCAGUCAGGCCGCGUGUGCCAUCUGGAGACCUCCCACAUGCACAGAUGGGGCCGUGUGGUGCCGGGUGGAUGGCUGAUCAGCUCGCGGCUAAACCAUUUCACAGCGCGUGCGCUAAGCCAUCCCAGCGCUGCCCUCGAGAAAAACGAGUUCUAUUUGUCAAUUACACCCUAAAAAAAGCUGGGGGCAGGGGCAGGCACAGUGGCACAUGCCUGUAAUCCCACUGGUUUGGGAGGCUGAGCCAGGAGGAUCACGAGUUCAAAGCCAGCCUCAGCAACUCAGCGAGUCCCUGAGCAACUCAGCGAGACUCUUUCUAAAUUAAAAAGAAAGAAAAAAGGCUGGGGAUGUUGCUCAGUGGUCGAGUGCCCCUGGAUUCAAUCUCAGGUACCAACCAAUCAGUCAAUAAACAAACAAAUAAAUAAAAGCUGGGUGGAGAAAAGUAUCCCUGGUGCAGCCUGCCCCCACCACAAGAGGCAAUCGCUCCCCUUGUGGGAGGGGUUCAGACCUCUCAGCAGGUGGCCCCAGGACCUUUCUGCAUGUGCCUGGUCCUUGGCCCUCCUGUUGCCCCAUGAGGACACAGCCGGGCACUGCCUGGGCCCGAGUCACGGUGCAGGGUCGGCCAUCAGUCUCUCCCUCCUCCUCGACUCCACAUUUGGGGAUGGAAACUCCAGCUCUUGUCCGGGUCCUGCGGUCCUGGGCUGCAAGGGUGGCUGGGAUCACAACCACAGGGUGGCAUCUGGUGCCACAGAGACCUUCAUCUUCCUCUCUGCCCAGGACCCAGGAGAGGCGUCUCAGCCCCGGGGAGGCCAAUCAGAGGCUCUCGCAGGCCCAAGCCUUGGGCGCCCAGCUCAGCCCCACAGGGGCAACCUCGUCUAGGGGCACAGGGUCCAGGGGCUCCCGCCUGCCCUCCAGAGCGCCCCGGGGAAUGUGCCUGGACAGGUAGCCUUCUCUGCACAGAGGAUAUCUGAACUCGAAGACUUGGACUUGGUCUUUGUUUGAAAGCAUGUCUUUAUUAUAGAACCCAAACCUGCUCAUGAGAGGGGGUUUUCAGAAUACCCAGGCACAAAGGCAAAGGGCAGGGUGAGCCAUCUGUAAUGCGGCUGCCCAGAGGCGACUUCUGUUAAUUUUUUUUGGUGUAUUUCCUUCCUAAAGUUGUAUCUUUUUGAGGUUGUUGUGUAGAAAACAUGGCAACCAAGUCCCAGGCCCAAUCCUGCUCUUAAAAUAGAAAGCAGGCUCCUAAUCAGGAGUCUUUUCGCCAGGAGAGGCGAUACGUCUUAGCCAGGUUUGCGAGAGGAUGGUGUCUUCUCCCCCUUCCUUCUCGCGGCACAUUAAAUCAUGGAUGAAUACAAAUGAGUUCCUCAAUUAGAAUAAAAUACCAAGACGGUCCAGUGUGCUGCGUGGCCAUGGAGAGUUCAGCUGAUGGGGGAACCAGCAGGAGGAGCUGACGGGGCGCCCAGGGGGAGCCUGCUGGGCCCGGCCGCAGUCUGUGGGGAUGCGGCUGCUCCUCGGGAGCCCCCUGGAGGAGGUGGGUUAACUACUGAGGUCGGCCCAGCGCACACCCCGUGUGCACCCGCCAGGAGCCAGCCUGCACCGGCUUCUGGAACACUUCAGCAUGGGGCAGGACACCCCGGGCAGGCACUUAUGAGUUUAAUUCUGAGAUCAGUUCUCAGUGGUGAGGUGAGUGCGUUCCCCCCUAGGAGGGGCUCCGCCUGCUCCGAGGCCUCCAGGUCCCCUUCGCAGAUCUUCCUGGUCACCUCCCAUCAUGCAUCCAAGGAACCCUCACCUGGAGAGAGUUGCUGUGUCCAUGCCUGCCCCUGGCCGAUCUCAGCACCACCCCUGUGAGGCCACACUUGCUGUGAAGUCUUCAGAAGCACCAGGGCUCCUGGGCAGAAGGCAAAGUCAUAGCUGGGGUCACUGGCAGCUUCGACUAAUGACGACUUCUGAGGAGCCCUCGUUCAUCCCAGCUGGCUGCCGCAGGGCUGCGGUGGCUUUGCAAACAGGACUCUGGCCAUGUACGAUUUUAGUUAAUCCCAGACUUACUGAAUAUGCAGAAUCCCCAGGUAGUGUGCAAGGUCAAGAAAAACUUGGGUGUAACUGGUUCAGGGGAAGAGAAGAGGAUGUGAACACAGAUUCCGUCACUAAAGGACAACACUCUGCCUAAGCUUGAGACCUGAGCUGGUGGUGGUCGGUGUAGUUGGACUUGGCCAGCCAAAGUGGUGGUCACUGAGUGGACCAAGGUGGAGGACAGUGUGUGCUACUGAAAGUGGGUCAGCAGAGUGGGGAGGUGGAACAGGGGGCUGGUGGGCAGCUCAGCCUGGUGUUGAGGGUGUGGGGUGUGCCGGCUCCCAUCCAGUCAGUCCAAGCCACACGGGUAUGCAGCUGGAGAUGAUGCAGUGUGCUCUGGCUGGCACCAGGAACUGGUGGCCUCCCCUUCCACUGAAGCCACUGGAAGAGUUUUAUGUGGUUCCCUGGUCAAAACGAGACUCAGACAGGACCAUCAUUUAGCUGUAAUGACCACAUCAGACACAGUUUACACUAACAUAUCCAACAAUAAAUCCAUUUACAAUAGCAUCUUGAACAAGAAAUACUCAAGAAUGUGUGGAGACAUUCAUGCUGACGACCGUAAUGCACAGUGAGAGAAACUCAAGGAAGGCGAGAUAGGUGGAGGGUAUACAAUGUUCAUGGAUCCAAAGACUCAACUGUAAGAUUUCAGUUCUACCCAAGUGGUCUGUAGAGUCAACAGAAUCCCCUCAAAUCCCAGAAGCCUUUUUGGAGAAAUGACAAGCUGAUUCUAAGAUUUAUUUAGAAAUGCAUAGGAUCUAAAAUAGAGAAGAUAAUUUCCAAAAGAAAUAUCAGAGCUGGAGGAUUUACACUAACUUAUUUUAAGAUUUAUUAUGAAUAAAUCAACAAGACAAUGUGAAAUUGGUGCAAGGAGAAAUAGAUGAUGGAAUAGAAUGGAGAAUCUGUAAUUAGGCCUAAAACUGGUAUCGGCAUGGGAAGAAAAUGAAUUUCAAUUUUAUUCCAUACUACACUAAAACAGUGAUUGAAAAGAGAUCAUAGAUCUCUGUGGAGAUACUAAAGCAACAACAUUCUCCCCAAAAUAUGUAAAAAAGACUUUGUGACCCUGGAAUAGGCAAAAAUUUCUUAGAUAAAACACAAAAAGCAAAAUAGCAAUACAUUGUGCUUGAUUAAAACUCACUGUCAGAACCGACAUUCACAACAGACUCCCCCAGGUAGGAGGCCCUGGAGUGCGCAUCCCCGUAAGGUCAGGGGGAGCAAACUGGCCUCUAAGGAGAUCCCCUGCACCUCCUUCAGCCUGGCCAAAUUCAAAUGUCUGACAGCACCAGGUGUGGACAAGGAUGUUGUCACUGGCGCUGACCAGCAUUGUUGGUAAGAAUGGAGAUGAUUCACCUCUCUGGGAAAGAGUUUGGUUAAACAUCCACAAUUACACCCCUGGGCAUCUAGAGACGGCAUGGGCCCUGCAAAGUCUUGUUCAAAGACUUAAAACCUGCAAGUGAUGCUCCGGCAGUGCCUGGGGAAUGUGUCCCUGUGAACUGGUGCACUGGGUGUGUCCAUGUGCUGUACGUAUCACGUGUUCUUACAGUGGAAAACUAUUCAGAAAUAAAG
RNAcentral lists this long non-coding RNA (5975 nucleotides) under Marmota monax (woodchuck). The record is from RNAcentral. Lineage: Eukaryota; Metazoa; Chordata; Mammalia; Rodentia; Sciuridae.